GUGUCAUGCUCUCCUUCCUAUUCCCUCAUUGUGAGUUUGUGUCGUGCUCUCCCUCCUAUCCCCUCUGUGUGUGCGUGGGGGUGUCUCUCUCCCAUCCCCUCGGUGUGUGUGUGGGGGUCUCUCUCUACCAUCCCCUCAGUGUGUGUGUCUGGGCGUCUCUCUCUCCCAUCCCCUCGGUGUGUGUGAGUGGGUCUCUCUCUCCCAUACCAUCGGUGUGAGUGGGUCUCUUUCUCCCAUCCCCUCGGUGUGAGUGGGUCUAUCUCCCAUCCCCUCGGUGUGAGUGGGUCUCUCUCCC
Non-coding RNA from Pelobates cultripes (western spadefoot toad), 295 nucleotides. NCBI's taxonomy places the organism in Eukaryota, Metazoa, Chordata, Amphibia, Anura, Pelobatidae. The record is from the annotation of a GenBank genome assembly.